UGCGCCAAGGUGUGCAAGACCGCAGCUGC
This 29-nucleotide non-coding RNA is filed under the name Homo sapiens (human). The record is from RNAcentral. Lineage: Eukaryota; Metazoa; Chordata; Mammalia; Primates; Hominidae.